This is a long non-coding RNA of Oncorhynchus tshawytscha (Chinook salmon), 762 nucleotides long. RefSeq lists it as uncharacterized. The record is from RefSeq and is a predicted model, not a curated record. NCBI's taxonomy places the organism in Eukaryota, Metazoa, Chordata, Actinopteri, Salmoniformes, Salmonidae. The transcript has 2 exons.
AUCAGUUUCACAGAGGUCACAAGUUGUCUGCCACAGUUUCUCUUCUCUUAUGGACAAACAUUCUUCAUCAUUAUACAGAGACAAGGAAUGGAAGACAUCAAGGACCACCUGGAAGAACGCUUGCUGCAGCUAGGUGAUGGCACCAGUUCAUCAGAUGAGGACUUCUUCUCUGCAUUGAAAAUGUCUCAAGCACAGGAAAGCUCCAAACAGCUGGACGGAUACCUGGCCUGUUCAGCUGAUCGUAUGGAGUUGCUCAAGUCCUUCCCGGCAGUCUGUAAGCUGUCUCUGAGGUUAAACACACCCAUACCUGCAUCAGCUUCCUGUGGAAGGCUGUUCAGCAUUGCAGGACUUGUUUUCAGCCCCCGGAGAGCAAGGCUGUAUUCCAGAAACUUUGAAAACUAGCUUUCACUGAAGAUGAACCAUAAAUUCUUCAACUUCAAGUAAUGACAGCUUAACGCUAGCAAGCCCAAGGACACGGAUGCCUUAUGCAUUUUUGUUAACUUGUGAAAUUUAAACCUAAAUUAUAGGUGUCCUUGUUACAAAGUUAUGACCUGACACUGAUUUCUAAUACAGUUCCAUCAGUGGCGAUGUCCUCAUAUUCCUACAGUGAAGUUGUGUGUACUUUUGAUGAGCUGUUUUUUCUAAAGCAAUGUAAGUGCUUACGUGUACUGGCUAUAUUCCUUCAUUAUUAAAGCAUAAUUCUGUUUUGUCUGUAAGAGAUGUAUUUUGAAGUGUUGCCUAUUUGACAAUCCACUUUUUUUU